Molecule: ribosomal RNA, 2931 nt
Filed under: Escherichia coli
Lineage: Bacteria; Pseudomonadati; Pseudomonadota; Gammaproteobacteria; Enterobacterales; Enterobacteriaceae
Description: bacterial LSU rRNA
Rfam family: Bacterial large subunit ribosomal RNA
Source: RNAcentral
GGGUUGUGAGGUUAAGCGACUAAGCGUACACGGUGGAUGCCCUGGCAGUCAGAGGCGAUGAAGGACGUGCUAAUCUGCGAUAAGCGUCGGUGAGGUGAUAUGAACCGUUAUAACCGGCGAUUUCCGAAUGGGGAAACCCAGUGUGUUUCGACACACUAUCAUUAACUGAAUCCAUAGGUUAAUGAGGCGAACCGGGGGAACUGAAACAUCUAAGUACCCCGAGGAAAAGAAAUCAACCGAGAUUCCCCCAGUAGCGGCGAGCGAACGGGGAGCAGCCCAGAGCCUGAAUCAGUGUGUGUGUUAGUGGAAGCGUCUGGAAAGGCGUGCGAUACAGGGUGACAGCCCCGUACACAAAAAUGCACAUACUGUGAGCUCGAUGAGUAGGGCGGGACACGUGGUAUCCUGUCUGAAUAUGGGGGGACCAUCCUCCAAGGCUAAAUACUCCUGACUGACCGAUAGUGAACCAGUACCGUGAGGGAAAGGCGAAAAGAACCCCGGCGAGGGGAGUGAAAAAGAACCUGAAACCGUGUACGUACAAGCAGUGGGAGCCUCUUAAUGGGGUGACUGCGUACCUUUUGUAUAAUGGGUCAGCGACUUAUAUUCUGUAGCAAGGUUAACCGAAUAGGGGAGCCGAAGGGAAACCGAGUCUUAACUGGGCGUUAAGUUGCAGGGUAUAGACCCGAAACCCGGUGAUCUAGCCAUGGGCAGGUUGAAGGUUGGGUAACACUAACUGGAGGACCGAACCGACUAAUGUUGAAAAAUUAGCGGAUGACUUGUGGCUGGGGGUGAAAGGCCAAUCAAACCGGGAGAUAGCUGGUUCUCCCCGAAAGCUAUUUAGGUAGCGCCUCGUGAAUUCAUCUCCGGGGGUAGAGCACUGUUUCGGCAAGGGGGUCAUCCCGACUUACCAACCCGAUGCAAACUGCGAAUACCGGAGAAUGUUAUCACGGGAGACACACGGCGGGUGCUAACGUCCGUCGUGAAGAGGGAAACAACCCAGACCGCCAGCUAAGGUCCCAAAGUCAUGGUUAAGUGGGAAACGAUGUGGGAAGGCCCAGACAGCCAGGAUGUUGGCUUAGAAGCAGCCAUCAUUUAAAGAAAGCGUAAUAGCUCACUGGUCGAGUCGGCCUGCGCGGAAGAUGUAACGGGGCUAAACCAUGCACCGAAGCUGCGGCAGCGACACUAUGUGUUGUUGGGUAGGGGAGCGUUCUGUAAGCCUGCGAAGGUGUACUGUGAGGUAUGCUGGAGGUAUCAGAAGUGCGAAUGCUGACAUAAGUAACGAUAAAGCGGGUGAAAAGCCCGCUCGCCGGAAGACCAAGGGUUCCUGUCCAACGUUAAUCGGGGCAGGGUGAGUCGACCCCUAAGGCGAGGCCGAAAGGCGUAGUCGAUGGGAAACAGGUUAAUAUUCCUGUACUUGGUGUUACUGCGAAGGGGGGACGGAGAAGGCUAUGUUGGCCGGGCGACGGUUGUCCCGGUUUAAGCGUGUAGGCUGAUUUUCCAGGCAAAUCCGGAAAAUCAAGGCUGAGGCGUGAUGACGAGGCACUACGGUGCUGAAGCAACAAAUGCCCUGCUUCCAGGAAAAGCCUCUAAGCAUCAGGUAACAUCAAAUCGUACCCCAAACCGACACAGGUGGUCAGGUAGAGAAUACCAAGGCGCUUGAGAGAACUCGGGUGAAGGAACUAGGCAAAAUGGUGCCGUAACUUCGGGAGAAGGCACGCUGAUAUGUAGGUGAAGUCCCUUGCGGAUGGAGCUGAAAUCAGUCGAAGAUACCAGCUGGCUGCAACUGUUUAUUAAAAACACAGCACUGUGCAAACACGAAAGUGGACGUAUACGGUGUGACGCCUGCCCGGUGCCGGAAGGUUAAUUGAUGGGGUUAGCGGUAACGCGAAGCUCUUGAUCGAAGCCCCGGUAAACGGCGGCCGUAACUAUAACGGUCCUAAGGUAGCGAAAUUCCUUGUCGGGUAAGUUCCGACCUGCACGAAUGGCGUAAUGAUGGCCAGGCUGUCUCCACCCGAGACUCAGUGAAAUUGAACUCGCUGUGAAGAUGCAGUGUACCCGCGGCAAGACGGAAAGACCCCGUGAACCUUUACUAUAGCUUGACACUGAACAUUGAGCCUUGAUGUGUAGGAUAGGUGGGAGGCUUUGAAGUGUGGACGCCAGUCUGCAUGGAGCCGGCCUUGAAAUACCACCCUUUAAUGUUUGAUGUUCUAACGUUGGCCCCUGAUCGGGGUUGCGGACAGUGUCUGGUGGGUAGUUUGACUGGGGCGGUCUCCUCCUAAAGAGUAACGGAGGAGCACGAAGGUUGGCUAAUCCUGGUCGGACAUCAGGAGGUUAGUGCAAUGGCAUAAGCCAGCUUGACUGCGAGCGUGACGGCGCGAGCAGGUGCGAAAGCAGGUCAUAGUGAUCCGGUGGUUCUGAAUGGAAGGGCCAUCGCUCAACGGAUAAAAGGUACUCCGGGGAUAACAGGCUGAUACCGCCCAAGAGUUCAUAUCGACGGCGGUGUUUGGCACCUCGAUGUCGGCUCAUCACAUCCUGGGGCUGAAGUAGGUCCCAAGGGUAUGGCUGUUCGCCAUUUAAAGUGGUACGCGAGCUGGGUUUAGAACGUCGUGAGACAGUUCGGUCCCUAUCUGCCGUGGGCGCUGGAGAACUGAGGGGGGCUGCUCCUAGUACGAGAGGACCGGAGUGGACGCAUCACUGGUGUUCGGGUUGUCAUGCCAAUGGCACUGCCCGGUAGCUAAAUGCGGAAGAGAUAAGUGCUGAAAGCAUCUAAGCACGAAACUUGCCCCGAGAUGAGUUCUCCCUGACUCCUUGAGAGUCCUGAAGGAACGUUGAAGACGACGACGUUGAUAGGCCGGGUGUGUAAGCGCAGCGAUGCGUUGAGCUAACCGGUACUAAUGAACCGUGAGGCUUAACCUUACAACGCCGAAGGUGUUU